CCCUUAGAUGUUCUGGGCCGCACGCGUGCUACACUGAGUGGAUCAGCGGGUCAGGUUGCGCGAAAGUGUUUCCUAAUCUUGAAAUCCGCUCGUGAUGGGGAUUGACGGUUGCAAUUUUCCGUCAUGAACGAGGAAUACCUUGUAAGCGCGGGUCAUCAUCCCGCGCGGAAUACGUCCCUGCCCUUUGUACACACCGCCCGUCGCUCCUACCGAUUGAGUGGUCCGGUGAGGCUUUGGGAUCUGAGCGGAAAGAGCGUUUCGCUGUUUCUGCUCGGAAAACUCAGUCGAACCUUAUCAUUUAGAGGAAGGAGAAGUCGUAACA
Molecule: ribosomal RNA, 322 nt
Filed under: uncultured eukaryote
Lineage: Eukaryota
Description: partial 18S ribosomal RNA
Rfam family: Eukaryotic small subunit ribosomal RNA
Source: RNAcentral